GUGUGGCGGAUCAUCCUCUCAGACCCGCUACAGAUCGUCGCCUUGGUAGGCCUUUACCCCACCAACUAGCUAAUCUGACUUAGGCUCAUCUAUUAGCGCAAGGUCCGAAGAUCCCCUGCUUUCCCCCUUAGGACGUAUGCGGUAUUAGCAUUCCUUUCGAAAUGUUGUCCCCCACUAAUAGGCAGAUUCCUAAGCAUUACUCACCCGUCCGCCGCUAAGUGAUAGUGCAAGCACCAUCACUCCGCUCGACUUGCAUGUGUUAAGCCUGCCGCCAGCGUUCAAUCUGAGCCAUGAUCAAAC
This 300-nucleotide ribosomal RNA is filed under the name uncultured Acinetobacter sp. RNAcentral describes it as "partial 16S ribosomal RNA". Lineage: Bacteria; Pseudomonadati; Pseudomonadota; Gammaproteobacteria; Moraxellales; Moraxellaceae. The record is from RNAcentral.